RNAcentral lists this ribosomal RNA (2140 nucleotides) under Escherichia coli. RNAcentral's name for it is "partial 23S ribosomal RNA". It matches the Rfam family "Bacterial large subunit ribosomal RNA", at positions 1 to 2157 of the family's 2925-position model. The record is from RNAcentral. Lineage: Bacteria; Pseudomonadati; Pseudomonadota; Gammaproteobacteria; Enterobacterales; Enterobacteriaceae.
GGGUUGUGAGGUUAAGCGACUAAGCGUACACGGUGGAUGCCCUGGCAGUCAGAGGCGAUGAAGGACGUGCUAAUCUGCGAUAAGCGUCGGUAAGGUGAUAUGAACCGUUAUAACCGGCGAUUUCCGAAUGGGGAAACCCAGUGUGUUUCGACACACUAUCAUUAACUGAAUCCAUAGGUUAAUGAGGCGAACCGGGGGAACUGAAACAUCUAAGUACCCCGAGGAAAAGAAAUCAACCGAGAUUCCCCCAGUAGCGGCGAGCGAACGGGGAGGAGCCCAGAGCCUGAAUCAGUGUGUGUGUUAGUGGAAGCGUCUGGAAAGGCGCGCGAUACAGGGUGACAGCCCCGUACACAAAAAUGCACAUGCUGUGAGCUCGAUGAGUAGGGCGGGACACGUGGUAUCCUGUCUGAAUAUGGGGGGACCAUCCUCCAAGGCUAAAUACUCCUGACUGACCGAUAGUGAACCAGUACCGUGAGGGAAAGGCGAAAAGAACCCCGGCGAGGGGAGUGAAAAAGAACCUGAAACCGUGUACGUACAAGCAGUGGGAGCAUGCUUAGGCGUGUGACUGCGUACCUUUUGUAUAAUGGGUCAGCGACUUAUAUUCUGUAGCAAGGUUAACCGAAUAGGGGAGCCGAAGGGAAACCGAGUCUUAACUGGGCGUUAAGUUGCAGGGUAUAGACCCGAAACCCGGUGAUCUAGCCAUGGGCAGGUUGAAGGUUGGGUAACACUAACUGGAGGACCGAACCGACUAAUGUUGAAAAAUUAGCGGAUGACUUGUGGCUGGGGGUGAAAGGCCAAUCAAACCGGGAGAUAGCUGGUUCUCCCCGAAAGCUAUUUAGGUAGCGCCUCGUGAACUCAUCUCCGGGGGUAGAGCACUGUUUCGGCAAGGGGGUCAUCCCGACUUACCAACCCGAUGCAAACUGCGAAUACCGGAGAAUGUUAUCACGGGAGACACACGGCGGGUGCUAACGUCCGUCGUGAAGAGGGAAACAACCCAGACCGCCAGCUAAGGUCCCAAAGUCAUGGUUAAGUGGGAAACGAUGUGGGAAGGCCCAGACAGCCAGGAUGUUGGCUUAGAAGCAGCCAUCAUUUAAAGAAAGCGUAAUAGCUCACUGGUCGAGUCGGCCUGCGCGGAAGAUGUAACGGGGCUAAACCAUGCACCGAAGCUGCGGCAGCGACGCUUAUGCGUUGUUGGGUAGGGGAGCGUUCUGUAAGCCUGUGAAGGUGUACUGUGAGGUAUGCUGGAGGUAUCAGAAGUGCGAAUGCUGACAUAAGUAACGAUAAAGCGGGUGAAAAGCCCGCUCGCCGGAAGACCAAGGGUUCCUGUCCAACGUUAAUCGGGGCAGGGUGAGUCGACCCCUAAGGCGAGGCCGAAAGGCGUAGUCGAUGGGAAACAGGUUAAUAUUCCUGUACUUGGUGUUACUGCGAAGGGGGGACGGAGAAGGCUAUGUUGGCCGGGCGACGGUUGUCCCGGUUUAAGCGUGUAGGCUGGUUUUCCAGGCAAAUCCGGAAAAUCAAGGCUGAGGCGUAAUGACGAGGCACUACGGUGCUGAAGCAACAAAUGCCCUGCUUCCAGGAAAAGCCUCUAAGCAUCAGGUAACAUCAAAUCGUACCCCAAACCGACACAGGUGGUCAGGUAGAGAAUACCAAGGCGCUUGAGAGAACUCGGGUGAAGGAACUAGGCAAAAUGGUGCCGUAACUUCGGGAGAAGGCACGCUGAUAUGUAGGUGAAGCGACUUGCUCGUGGAGCUGAAAUCAGUCGAAGAUACCAGCUGGCUGCAACUGUUUAUUAAAAACACAGCACUGUGCAAACACGAAAGUGGACGUAUACGGUGUGACGCCUGCCCGGUGCCGGAAGGUUAAUUGAUGGGGUUAGCGCAAGCGAAGCUCUUGAUCGAAGCCCCGGUAAACGGCGGCCGUAACUAUAACGGUCCUAAGGUAGCGAAAUUCCUUGUCGGGUAAGUUCCGACCUGCACGAAUGGCGUAAUGAUGGCCAGGCUGUCUCCACCCGAGACUCGGUGAAAUUGAACUCGCUGUGAAGAUGCAGUGUACCCGCGGCAAGACGGAAAGACCCCGUGAACCUUUACUAUAGCUUGACACUGAACAUUGAGCCUUGAUGUGUAGGAUAGGUGGGAGGCUU